AGCUUGUUAGAUAAUGCGCAAUAGUAGCGCUUAGCUCUCCUAAGGCUAAGGCUGUAGGUUCGAGUUCUAUAUCGGUUG
Molecule: transfer RNA, 78 nt
Filed under: Pyrenophora teres f. teres
Lineage: Eukaryota; Fungi; Ascomycota; Dothideomycetes; Pleosporales; Pleosporaceae
Description: tRNA-Arg
Rfam family: tRNA (bases 16-70)
About the family: Transfer RNA (tRNA) molecules are approximately 80 nucleotides in length. Their secondary structure includes four short double-helical elements and three loops (D, anti-codon, and T loops).
Source: RNAcentral